RNAcentral lists this ribosomal RNA (890 nucleotides) under Bacillus sp. (in: firmicutes). RNAcentral's name for it is "bacterial SSU rRNA". It matches the Rfam family "Bacterial small subunit ribosomal RNA", at positions 63 to 933 of the family's 1533-position model. Lineage: Bacteria; Bacillati; Bacillota; Bacilli; Caryophanales; Bacillaceae. The record is from RNAcentral.
CGAGCGGACAGAUGAGGAGCUUGCUCCCUGAUGUUAGCGGCGGACGGGUGAGUAACACGUGGGUAACCUGCCUGUAAGACUGGGAUAACUCCGGGAAACCGGGGCUAAUACCGGAUGGUUGUCUGAACCGCAUGGUUCAGACAUAAAAGGUGGCUUCGGCUACCACUUACAGAUGGACCCGCGGCGCAUUAGCUAGUUGGUGAGGUAACGGCUCACCAAGGCGACGAUGCGUAGCCGACCUGAGAGGGUGAUCGGCCACACUGGGACUGAGACACGGCCCAGACUCCUACGGGAGGCAGCAGUAGGGAAUCUUCCGCAAUGGACGAAAGUCUGACGGAGCAACGCCGCGUGAGUGAUGAAGGUUUUCGGAUCGUAAAGCUCUGUUGUUAGGGAAGAACAAGUGCCGUUCAAAUAGGGCGGCACCUUGACGGUACCUAACCAGAAAGCCACGGCUAACUACGUGCCAGCAGCCGCGGUAAUACGUAGGUGGCAAGCGUUGUCCGGAAUUAUUGGGCGUAAAGGGCUCGCAGGCGGUUUCUUAAGUCUGAUGUGAAAGCCCCCGGCUCAACCGGGGAGGGUCAUUGGAAACUGGGGAACUUGAGUGCAGAAGAGGAGAGUGGAAUUCCACGUGUAGCGGUGAAAUGCGUAGAGAUGUGGAGGAACACCAGUGGCGAAGGCGACUCUCUGGUCUGUAACUGACGCUGAGGAGCGAAAGCGUGGGGAGCGAACAGGAUUAGAUACCCUGGUAGUCCACGCCGUAAACGAUGAGUGCUAAGUGUUAGGGGGUUUCCGCCCCUUAGUGCUGCAGCUAACGCAUUAAGCACUCCGCCUGGGGAGUACGGUCGCAAGACUGAAACUCAAAGGAAUUGACGGGGGCCCGCACAAGCGGU